UGGCGGCCCUUAGCGCGGUGGUCCCACCUGACCCCAUGCCGAACUCAGAAGUGAAACGCCGUAGCGCCGAUGGUAGUGUGGGGUCUCCCCAUGCGAGAGUAGGGAACUGCCAGGCA
This 116-nucleotide ribosomal RNA is filed under the name Escherichia coli. The record is from RNAcentral. Lineage: Bacteria; Pseudomonadati; Pseudomonadota; Gammaproteobacteria; Enterobacterales; Enterobacteriaceae.